Peromyscus eremicus (cactus mouse) is the source of this 1221-nucleotide long non-coding RNA. RefSeq lists it as uncharacterized. The transcript has 2 exons. The record is from RefSeq and is a predicted model, not a curated record. NCBI's taxonomy places the organism in Eukaryota, Metazoa, Chordata, Mammalia, Rodentia, Cricetidae.
CCAAGAGAAGCCAAUAGCUUCAACACAGGGCACAUAGUGUCAGCCUCAGAUAUGUACAGCUCUCUCCACGUACAACUGUUUCCCUUUUAAAGGUGGCAUCAAUAGGGAUAGACAAGAAUUACAGAGAUGGCUAGUGAUAGAAAUAGAGAGAUAUAGAAAGAAGAGAUAUGUCGUAUGAUAUGGACUUGAUGGUCUGGAGUCAUCUGUGGCCACCUACUUGUAUGCUGAUAUUCUUAGCACAUAUGGUUCUGAAUAAAGAGAGGAAAAUUUUAUGAUGGUAACCUUGGAAAGCUGUCGAAGUGAACAGGCAGAAUGUCACCAAGCCUGAACCUUCUGCUCUCCUUCAGUCUCUUGAAAGUUUUCAAGCCCAUGCAGAACAAAGCAAGAAAUCAUUUCUCCAAGCGACUCUGUGAGUUUCUGGAUCUAUGAACUACUUCUCUGAGCCUCAUGACAAAGGACAGGAUGAGGAGAGAAAAGAUUUUCUGUAGUGAAUGAAGCCUGGCUUAGGAGAAGGAGUGUUAUUGCCCAUGAUGGCGUUGAAACCUUACUUGAUGCUGGUUAUUAACGCAAAUUCAUUAUGUUCACAAACAAGCGUGACCCGGGAACAUUUAAAAGUAUUGCCUUGAAAUGAUACUGAAAAAGAUGAAAGACAGAACUUUAUGCCUUUGACAAAAUUAAAUUGUAGUAAGCUGCACAGUGUUAAAGGUUGAUUAGGUCAUAUUCAUUAGGUUUCUAAUAUAUGUCAGCUUAGGCAGGAAUGACAUUCACAUAAUCCCAAAUACUCUUGCAAAGGAUGUGUAGCUUCUCUUAAUUUGCCUUUAGCUAGCACUUACUGAAUGACUUGUGUAUCUGAGGUGGAUAUUACUGCCUCUUCCAUCAUAUAGGGGAAGAAACCACAAGUUAAAAUGCCAAACCUAGAAGAAGCAAAGCUGAUUUCAAGUCUGAGCCAAGGCAUGGCACCACCCUCCACGCGCCCUUGAAGACCACUGCCACGUGGAAAGCAGGUUGUGGAUUGCAUGCCUGUCUACGGUGAGCAUGUCACAGCAUCUAUGUGGAGGUCAGAGGACAACUUGAAGGAGUGGUUCUCUCCUUCCAGCAUGUGAUCCUGGGUAUCAAACUCAGGUCCGCAGGUUUGUAGCAAGUGCUUUUGCCCACUGAGUCAUCUCACCAACCCUACUCUACGGUGCUUUAUGUAAAAGGAAAAUAAUAAUAUUUAAAACU